RNAcentral lists this ribosomal RNA (459 nucleotides) under uncultured bacterium. RNAcentral describes it as "bacterial SSU rRNA". It matches the Rfam family "Bacterial small subunit ribosomal RNA", at positions 977 to 1434 of the family's 1533-position model. The record is from RNAcentral.
GGGCUUGACAUCCCACGAACCUGCCUGAAAGGGUAGGGUGCCCGCAAGGGAGCGUGGAGACAGGUGGUGCAUGGCUGUCGUCAGCUCGUGUCGUGAGAUGUUGGGUAAGUCCCGCAACGAGCGCAACCCUCACCCCUAGUUGCCACCGGGUAAAGCCGAGCACUCGAGGGGAACUGCCAGCGUCAAGCUGGAGGAAGGCGGGGAUGACGUCAAGUCAUCAUGCCCCUUACGUCCUGGGCUACACACGUGCUACAAUGGCCAGUACAGAGGGAUGCGAGACCGCGAGGUGGAGCCAAUCCCAAAAAGCUGGUCUAAGUUCAGAUUGCAGUCUGCAACUCGACUGCAUGAAGUAGGAAUCGCUAGUAAUCGCGCAUCAGCACGGCGCGGUGAAUACGUUCCCGGGCCUUGUACACACCGCCCGUCACACCACGAAAGCUGGCUGUACUCGAAGUCGCUGAG